This 766-nucleotide ribosomal RNA is filed under the name Arthrobacter sp. 5-7. RNAcentral describes it as "bacterial SSU rRNA". It matches the Rfam family "Bacterial small subunit ribosomal RNA", at positions 56 to 824 of the family's 1533-position model. Lineage: Bacteria; Bacillati; Actinomycetota; Actinomycetes; Micrococcales; Micrococcaceae. The record is from RNAcentral.
UGCAAGUCGAACGAUGAACCUCACUUGUGGGGGGAUUAGUGGCGAACGGGUGAGUAACACGUGAGUAACCUGCCCUUGACUCUGGGAUAAGCCUGGGAAACCGGGUCUAAUACUGGAUACGACCUUCUGGCGCAUGCCAUGUUGGUGGAAAGCUUUUGUGGUUUUGGAUGGACUCGCGGCCUAUCAGCUUGUUGGUGGGGUAAUGGCCUACCAAGGCGACGACGGGUAGCCGGCCUGAGAGGGUGACCGGCCACACUGGGACUGAGACACGGCCCAGACUCCUACGGGAGGCAGCAGUGGGGAAUAUUGCACAAUGGGCGCAAGCCUGAUGCAGCGACGCCGCGUGAGGGAUGAAGGCCUUCGGGUUGUAAACCUCUUUCAGUAGGGAAGAAGUUGGCCUUUCGGGGUUGGUGACGGUACCUGCAGAAGAAGCGCCGGCUAACUACGUGCCAGCAGCCGCGGUAAUACGUAGGGCGCAAGCGUUAUCCGGAAUUAUUGGGCGUAAAGAGCUCGUAGGCGGUUUGUCGCGUCUGCCGUGAAAGUCCGGGGCUUAACUCCGGAUCUGCGGUGGGUACGGGCAGACUAGAGUGCAGUAGGGGAGACUGGAAUUCCUGGUGUAGCGGUGAAAUGCGCAGAUAUCAGGAGGAACACCGAUGGCGAAGGCAGGUCUCUGGGCUGUAACUGACGCUGAGGAGCGAAAGCAUGGGGAGCGAACAGGAUUAGAUACCCUGGUAGUCCAUGCCGUAAACGUUGGGCACUAGGUGUG